UGACUUAUUUGCUUAGCAUUAUAUUCUCAAGGUCUGUUCAUGUUGUCGCAAAUGUCAGUAUUUCAUCUUUUCUGAUGGCUGAGCAGAUUUUUAUACCAUUGAGGACAUGUACC
Long non-coding RNA from Pipistrellus kuhlii (Kuhl's pipistrelle), 113 nucleotides. RefSeq lists it as uncharacterized. NCBI's taxonomy places the organism in Eukaryota, Metazoa, Chordata, Mammalia, Chiroptera, Vespertilionidae. The record is from RefSeq and is a predicted model, not a curated record. The transcript is spliced from 3 exons.